Molecule: small nuclear RNA, 107 nt
Organism: Dipodomys ordii (Ord's kangaroo rat)
Lineage: Eukaryota; Metazoa; Chordata; Mammalia; Rodentia; Heteromyidae
Source: Ensembl
GUGUUUGCUUUGGCAACACAUAUACUAAAAUUGGAACGAUACAGAGAAGAUUAGUAUGGCCCCUGUGCAAGGAUGACACGCAAAUUUGUGAAGUGUUCCAUAUUUUU